RNAcentral lists this ribosomal RNA (1071 nucleotides) under fungal endophyte. RNAcentral describes it as "eukaryotic LSU rRNA". The stretch from base 484 to 1071 matches the Rfam family "Eukaryotic large subunit ribosomal RNA", at positions 1 to 597 of the family's 3401-position model. Lineage: Eukaryota; Fungi. The record is from RNAcentral.
AUUACCGAGUUAUUACUCCAAACCCUUUGUGAACCUUACCUUUUUUGUUGCUCGGCGCCUCGCGGGCCGCGGGCUUCGGCCCGUCCCGCAGGGCGCCAGAGGACCCAACUCUUCCAUUUUACAGUUUACCUUCUGAUUUACCAAACAAACAAUUAAAACUUUCAACAACGGAUCUCUUGGUUCUGGCAUCGAUGAAGAACGCAGCGAAAUGCGAUAAGUAAUGUGAAUUGCAGAAUUCAGUGAAUCAUCGAAUCUUUGAACGCACAUUGCGCCCGGCAGUAUUCUGCCGGGCAUGCCUGUCCGAGCGUCAUUUCAACCCUCGAGCCGCUUUUAGUGGAUCGGUGUUGGGGUACUACGGUAAAACGUAGGCCCUGAAAUGAAGUGGCGGUCCCGCCGCGGCGCCCCCAUGCGUAGUAACGUCUAGUCUCGCAUCGGGUCCCGGCGGAGGCCUGCCGUCAAGCCUAAUUCUUACUCAGAACAGUUUGACCUCGGAUCAGGUAGGGUUACCCGCUGAACUUAAGCAUAUCAAUAAGCGGAGGAAAAGAAACCAACAGGGAUUGCCCUAGUAACGGCGAGUGAAGCGGCAACAGCUCAAAUUUGAAAUCUGGUCCCUCGGGGCCCGAGUUGUAAUUUGCAGAGGAUGCUUUUGGCGCGGUGCCUUCCGAGUGCCCUGGAACGGGACGCCACAGAGGGUGAGAGCCCCGUAUGGUUGGACACCAAGCCUAUGUAAAGCUCCUUCGACGAGUCGAGUAGUUUGGGAAUGCUGCUCAAAAUGGGAGGUAAACCCCUUCUAAAGCUAAAUACUGGCCAGAGACCGAUAGCGCACAAGUAGAGUGAUCGAAAGAUGAAAAGCACUUUGAAAAGAGAGUUAAAAAGCACGUGAAAUUGUUGAAAGGGAAGCGUUUGCGACCAGACUUGCGCCCGUCGGAUCAGCCGUCCCUCGUGGGCGGUGCACUCCGGCGGGCUCAGGCCAGCAUCAGUUCGCUGCAGGGGGAGAAAGGCGGCGGGAAUGUGGCUCUUCGGAGUGUUAUAGCCCGCCGCGUAAUACCCCUCGGCGGACUGAGGACCGCG